CAGGGAUUGCCCUAGUAACGGCGAGUGAAGCGGCAACAGCUCAAAUUUGAAAUCUGGCCUUCGGGUCCGAGUUGUAAUUUGUAGAGGAUGCUUUUGGUGAGGUGCCUUCCGAGUUCCCUGGAACGGGACGCCAUAGAGGGUGAGAGCCCCGUCUGGUUGGACACCGAUCCUCUGUAAAGCUCCUUCGACGAGUCGAGUAGUUUGGGAAUGCUGCUCUAAAUGGGAGGUAUAUGUCUUCUAAAGCUAAAUAUUGGCCAGAGACCGAUAGCGCACAAGUAGAGUGAUCGAAAGAUGAAAAGCACUUUGAAAAGAGAGUUAAAAAGUACGUGAAAUUGUUGAAAGGGAAGCGCUCAUGACCAGACUUGGGCUUGGUUGAUCAUCCAGGGUUCUCCCUGGUGCACUCUUCCAGUUCAGGCCAGCAUCAGUUCGCUGUGGGGGAUAAAGGCUUUGGGAAUGUGGCUCCCUCGGGAGUGUUAUAGCCCAUUGUGUAAUACCCUGUGGUGGACUGAGGUUCGCGCAUUCGCAAGGAUGCUGGCGUAAUGGUCAUCAGCGACCCGUCUUGAAACACGGACCAAGGAGUCGUCUUCGUAUGCGAGUGUUCGGGUGUUAAACCCCUACGCGUAAUGAAAGUGAACGCAGGUGAGAGCUUCGGCGCAUCAUCGACCGAUCCUGAUGUUCUCGGAUGGAUUUGAGUAAGAGCAUACGGGGCCGGACCCGAAAGAAGGUGAACUAUGCCUGUAUAGGGUGAAGCCAGAGGAAACUCUGGUGGAGGCUCGCAGCGGUUCUGACGUGCAAAUCGAUCGUCAAAUAUGGGCAUGGGGGCGAAAGACUAAUCGAACCUUCUAGUAGCUGGUUUCCGC
RNAcentral lists this ribosomal RNA (860 nucleotides) under Dactylonectria torresensis. RNAcentral's name for it is "LSU rRNA". It matches the Rfam family "Eukaryotic large subunit ribosomal RNA", at positions 69 to 961 of the family's 3401-position model. The record is from RNAcentral. Lineage: Eukaryota; Fungi; Ascomycota; Sordariomycetes; Hypocreales; Nectriaceae.